Pan paniscus (pygmy chimpanzee) is the source of this 747-nucleotide long non-coding RNA. Lineage: Eukaryota; Metazoa; Chordata; Mammalia; Primates; Hominidae. The record is from Ensembl.
AGACUGAUUAAUUUCUGUUUCUCUUCAACAUAACUAACUAGGACAACUUGGCUCUAUUUCAGCUGAAAAUGCAUUGGUAUUUAUCUAAUGACUGUAAGGAAGGCAAAUGUUACAUGUUAAUAUUUCCAUAAAACCGGAGCUUAAGAAAAUCAAAGGCACUUUUUACUUGACUUGGAAUGAACAAAAUUAUUCUGAAGGCUUCUCAGAGCCUUAAGAUGAUUCAAACCUAUUGUUUCUGAUUUUCCAUUGUGGUGACUUCUACGGAGAUAACUAUCAUUUUCAUAGAACAAAACCAGAGCAAAGCUCAUGACAUUACAGGAGGAGCAGAGUUCUAUCAUGUAGAAGUUCAUUCACCUGAGCAUGCUUCCUUAUCAUCAUCUCAUCUUGUGCCGGUAUACAAGUAAGAUCAGCCAGCUGCUGAAAUCUCUAAGGAAUAUCUCUCCAUGGAGACAGAGCCAGACGGCCCAAGUCUCUUCUCUGUUCUUGAGUUCCUGUUUUCAAGUAAUGAUUUGGAUAAACUGGAGACCGGUUUCCUUUCCUCCAACUCUGGCAGCUGAAAUUAAUUCUCCAAAGACUCCUCUUUGGAGGCAAGCAGAUGGUACACAUGCACAUGUUUUAGUUUCGAUUGUACCAGUUUUGAAUAAUUUAAAGUUCCAAAUCUCUAUAAAACUACUGUAUUCCCAUUUCUCAAUACAUUUUUUUCUUUUGCCUCAGAAAUUCUUUCGUUAUAUUUUGACAUUUGGCUGA